Molecule: unclassified non-coding RNA, 335 nt
Filed under: soil metagenome
Description: partial contains 5.8S ribosomal RNA, internal transcribed spacer 2, and large subunit ribosomal RNA
Rfam family: 5.8S ribosomal RNA (bases 1-120)
Source: RNAcentral
GAUGAAGAACGUAGCGAAAUGCGAUAAGUAGUGUGAAUUGCAGAAUUCAGUGAAUCAUCGAAUCUUUGAACGCACAUUGCGCCCCUUGGUACUCCAAGGGGCAUGCCUGUUCGAGCGUCAUUUACACCCUCAAGCUCAGCUUGGUGUUGGGCGUCUGUCCCGCUUCGUGCGCGGACUCGCCUCAAAUGCAUUGGCAGCGGUCUUGCCAGCUUCUCGCGCAGCACAUUGCGCUUCUAGAGGCUUUGGCGGAUCGGCGUCCAUCAAGUACACCCACAGUUUGACCUCGGAUCAGGUAGGGAUACCCGCUGAACUUAAGCAUAUCAAUAAGCGGAGGA